Trematomus bernacchii (emerald rockcod) is the source of this 1662-nucleotide RNA transcript. It is a transcript of the gene named extracellular signal-regulated kinase 7-like, with no coding region annotated. The record is from RefSeq and is a predicted model, not a curated record. The transcript has 3 exons. Lineage: Eukaryota; Metazoa; Chordata; Actinopteri; Perciformes; Nototheniidae.
CUGUUACUCAAACCGAAAGUAAAAUAUUUCGCGGCAGUGAGAGUAGGUACUAGUGAGCUCCUUUUUUCACACGUGAGCAGACAUGGUGGAUGUGCUGCUGCUUGGGACUCUGGAAGACUUGGGCAAAGAUGACUUUCGGGAUUUUAAGUGGUACCUCAAUCAAAAGAACUUGGAUGGCUGCAAACCAAUUGCUGUUUGCAAACUGGAGGACGCAAGCAGGACGAAAACUGUGACAGAGAUGACCAGCAGCUACGGUGAAGAAAUGGCCAUGAAGGUGGCUGUUGAGAUUCUGAAGAAGAUGAAGAACAUGAAGGCUGCAGCGGAGUUGACGAAGAAAUAUGCAGGUGCAGUGGAUGUGUCUUAAAUGCACUUAUAAUAUAAGCAAAAUAAGUGACUUCACGGUUUUCUGAGAUGAUCAGAGCUGCAUCCUCCUCCUCCUCCUCCUCCUCUGCUGCUGCUGCUUCACCUCCAGCUGCUUCACCUCCAGCUGCUUCACCUCCAGCUGCUUCACCUCCAGCUGCUUCACCUCCAGCUGCCAACACGAUGUCGGCUCAAAACGAGAGUGUGAUCGUCGCUCCGACAGUCACAGGCUCAUCUCACACGUUCAACAUAACCAUCAAUAAAUGAGCACAAUAAGACAGCACAAUAAGAAAUACGGGAAUACAUAUAUAUAUAUAUUUUGAUAUUGAGUGACUUUUACUAUAGUCCAUGAAACCAUUACAUGUUCCUGGUCAAAUUGACAUCUUUACCCGUUAGAGUCCUCCAACAGUGAAAGCCAAUUUUCUUUAAGUCUCAAUAUUUAACAUUAAUAAGCAGUACACACAUGAUUAAUUACACAAUUACAAUACAUGCUUUGAUAUAUAACCCUGUGUUAUAGUUUUAAGCAGAUAUAAGGAACUUUUUGAUGUCUAAUAAUGCUCACCCUAUGAACACACAUUUUCUAAUAAUACAACAGUUUUUUAUGGUGACUGAGAGGUACACACGGGCCAAAAAAUGUCCAUUAGGAGACAAGCGCUGAAGUUUAAAAAAAAAUAAGAAAACACAAAUGUGCCAAAAUUAAGAAACAUCUUCACCAACUUGAAGAAACAUGCGCAGGGUUUACUAAAAGUGUUGCACAAAUUAAACUCUGCAAAGCUGCAAGAAGCUCAAAACACAACAGAAAUGGGGACACUAAAAAGUGACGCACACAGCUGGGACCGGAGCGCUUGUUGAUGUUCGGGGAUUAUAAAGUGAGCCCACUGUCGCUCUUGUUGGAAACUCACCUAAAAUGUAUGUUUUUUCAGCUUAUUUAAACAAUGUGAUCGCAUGAUUCUUUCUGAUAUUAUGGCAGAUCUGCUGUAAGCUAGCUAGCUAACGUAGCUAACCUAGUCAUUUUCAAAUAUACUAACAAAACACUAACAAUUAUGAAACAACGUCAACAAGCGCAACAAGUGUCCCCUGCUUUCUAUUGUGCUUUGAGAUUGAGUUAUAAAGCAAUAAUUCAAUGUCAACAUAAUGCUUUUCAUUCCUUUGUUUGUUGUUGUAAAGACCAGAGCAAAUCCAAGACUCAUGAUAACCAAAGAUGUGACAAUGACAUGACACAAUAUCUGACAUUUGAGACAAAGUAUCCAUUUAAAAAUAUGCUAUAACAAACUUUAUUCCAAAUAAACAACAACAACAACA